This 101-nucleotide transfer RNA is filed under the name Coniochaeta sp. 2T2.1. It matches the Rfam family "tRNA". From Rfam's summary of the family: Transfer RNA (tRNA) molecules are approximately 80 nucleotides in length. Their secondary structure includes four short double-helical elements and three loops (D, anti-codon, and T loops). The record is from Rfam by way of RNAcentral. Lineage: Eukaryota; Fungi; Ascomycota; Sordariomycetes; Coniochaetales; Coniochaetaceae.
GGGGAUUUGGUCUAGGGGUAUGAUUUCUCUUUCGCAUAUUGGUCUCCAGCAGAUCAAUUGAUGCAUAGAGAAGGUCGUGGGUUCAAUUCCCACAAUCUCCA